RNAcentral lists this unclassified non-coding RNA (357 nucleotides) under soil metagenome. RNAcentral describes it as "partial contains 5.8S ribosomal RNA, internal transcribed spacer 2, and large subunit ribosomal RNA". The stretch from base 1 to 120 matches the Rfam family "5.8S ribosomal RNA", at positions 35 to 154 of the family's 154-position model. The record is from RNAcentral.
GAUGAAGAACGUAGCGAAAUGCGAUAAGUAAUGUGAAUUGCAGAAUUCAGUGAAUCAUCGAAUCUUUGAACGCACAUUGCGCCCGCUGGUAUUCCGGCGGGCAUGCCUGUUCGAGCGUCAUUUCAACCCUCAAGCUCUCCGGAGUUUGGUGUUGGGGCGCCUGGGGCUUUUCGACCUCAGGGCCCUCAAGUCCAUCGGCGGGACCGCCAGGACACUGAGCGCAGUAGUAUUAUUUCGCUCGGUAGGAUCAUCCACGGCGGGUCGAUCUGGCCGCUAAACCCCCCAAUUCUCACCAAAGGUUGACCUCGGAUCAGGUAGGAAUACCCGCUGAACUUAAGCAUAUCAAUAAGCGGAGGA